RNAcentral lists this ribosomal RNA (1407 nucleotides) under uncultured bacterium. Its description in RNAcentral is "bacterial SSU rRNA". It matches the Rfam family "Bacterial small subunit ribosomal RNA", at positions 1 to 1377 of the family's 1533-position model. The record is from RNAcentral.
GAAUUCGAUUAGAGUUUGAUCAUGGCUCAGGACGAACGCUGGCGGCGUGCCUAAUACAUGCAAGUCGAACGCUUCUUUCCUCCCGAGUGCUUGCACUCAAUUGGAAAGAGGAGUGGCGGACGGGUGAGUAACACGUGGGUAACCUACCCAUCAGAGGGGGAUAACACUUGGAAACAGGUGCUAAUACCGCAUAACAGUUUAUGCCGCAUGGCAUAAGAGUGAAAGGCGCUUUCGGGUGUCGCUGAUGGAUGGACCCGCGGUGCAUUAGCUAGUUGGUGAGGUAACGGCUCACCAAGGCCACGAUGCAUAGCCGACCUGAGAGGGUGAUCGGCCACACUGGGACUGAGACACGGCCCAGACUCCUACGGGAGGCAGCAGUAGGGAAUCUUCGGCAAUGGACGAAAGUCUGACCGAGCAACGCCGCGUGAGUGAAGAAGGUUUUCGGAUCGUAAAACUCUGUUGUUAGAGAAGAACAAGGACGUUAGUAACUGAACGUCCCCUGACGGUAUCUAACCAGAAAGCCACGGCUAACUACGUGCCAGCAGCCGCGGUAAUACGUAGGUGGCAAGCGUUGUCCGGAUUUAUUGGGCGUAAAGCGGGCGCAGGCGGUUUCUUAAGUCUGAUGUGAAAGCCCCCGGCUCAACCGGGGAGGGUCAUUGGAAACUGGGAGACUUGAGUGCAGAAGAGGAGAGUGGAAUUCCAUGUGUAGCGGUGAAAUGCGUAGAUAUAUGGAGGAACACCAGUGGCGAAGGCGGCUCUCUGGUCUGUAACUGACGCUGAGGCUCGAAAGCGUGGGGAGCAAACAGGAUUAGAUACCCUGGUAGUCCACGCCGUAAACGAUGAGUGCUAAGUGUUGGAGGGUUUCCGCCCUUCAGUGCUGCAGCAAACGCAUUAAGCACUCCGCCUGGGGAGUACGACCGCAAGGUUGAAACUCAAAGGAAUUGACGGGGGCCCGCACAAGCGGUGGAGCAUGUGGUUUAAUUCGGAGCAACGCGAAGAACCUUACCAGGUCUUGACAUCCUUUGACCACUCUAGAGAUAGAGCUUUCCCUUCGGGGACAAAGUGACAGGUGGUGCAUGGUUGUCGUCAGCUCGUGUCGUGAGAUGUUGGGUUAAGUCCCGCAACGAGCGCAACCCUUAUUGUUAGUUGCCAUCAUUUAGUUGGGCACUCUAGCGAGACUGCCGGUGACAAACCGGAGGAAGGUGGGGAUGACGUCAAAUCAUCAUGCCCCUUAUGACCUGGGCUACACACGUGCUACAAUGGGAAGUACAACGAGUCGCUAGACCGCGAGGUCAUGCAAAUCUCUUAAAGCUUCUCUCAGUUCGGAUUGCAGGCUGCAACUCGCCUGCAUGAAGCCGGAAUCGCUAGUAAUCGCGGAUCAGCACGCCGCGGUGAAUACGUUCCCGG